This is a small nucleolar RNA of Podarcis raffonei (Aeolian wall lizard), 135 nucleotides long. RefSeq annotates it as small nucleolar RNA SNORA5. The transcript has a single exon. Lineage: Eukaryota; Metazoa; Chordata; Lepidosauria; Squamata; Lacertidae. The record is from RefSeq and is a predicted model, not a curated record.
UGCAGCUGUGUCAAAUUCAUUGCCCGCCUUUCCUGUGGCAGGGAGUGGUCCUAGCAGCUGCCACAGCAACAAUCUGCCGUCCAUGGGCUUCAGAACCCUUUGUGGGCUCCGAGGACAGUUUUUCUGCAGACACCG